This 393-nucleotide ribosomal RNA is filed under the name uncultured bacterium. RNAcentral's name for it is "partial 16S ribosomal RNA". It matches the Rfam family "Bacterial small subunit ribosomal RNA", at positions 523 to 918 of the family's 1533-position model. The record is from RNAcentral.
CUACGGAGGACGCGAGCGUUAUCCGGAUUCAUUGGGUUUAAAGGGUGCGCAGGCGGCCGUGCAAGUCAGCGGUGAAAGCCCGGGGCUCAACCCCGGAAGUGCCGUUGAUACUGCAUGGCUGGAAUGCGGUCGAGGCGGGCGGAACGGGGCGUGUAGCGGGGAAAUGCGUAGAUAUGCCACAGAACGCCGAUAGCGGAGGCAGCGCGCCAGGCCUGCAUUGACGCUCGGGCACGAAAGCGUGGGGAUCGAACAGGAUUAGAUACCCUGGUAGUCCACGCCGUAAACGAUGGGCGCUCGUCGUCGGCGGCAGACAGUCGGCGGCCAAGCGAAAGCGAUAAGCGCCCCACCUGGGGAGUACGGUCGCAAGGCUGAAACUCAAAUGAAUUGACGGGG